GGGGGAAAGAAAAGUACAAACAAACAAACAAUAAAAAGAGAAAAAGAAAAUCAACGUGAAUAUUCUGGCAAGCGUCCAUCGUUUAUCUCAUAAAUCUGUAAAGCAAGACGAGUUGGUAUCGUUCCGCCAUAUUUCAUUUUCUUCCUCGUUGAUUUCUCAAGGAGGAAAGGAAAGAAAGUAUACGUAGAAAGGACGCUUCGUGCCGGCUGCAUUCUAAACGAUGCUCUACAACUCCGGCGGACUGAAAAUUAGGUUAAAAAUUCAAUUGAAUUCGCCGUUUCUCUCGUCUCGGGCUAGAAAACGCGAGAUGGUUUUAUGCGCUAACUCAACGAGCCAUGCGUCAAUAACAUUCUUAUUUUCAUAUAAUAGAUAAUAAUAUAGAAAUGAGAUAAAGAAAACUCUAUACCAAAAAGAAUCAUAAAUUUCUAGUUGACCGUAGAAUAAUCGAUUUUACGAUAAACCCGUUAUAGCAUAGUUUUUAUUAUGUAAAAUUGCAACUUAAUCGUGCGUACGAUAAAUUUUCCCUUUCCAUUACGUACAAUAAUUUUACGUAAAUCCAUUAAAUUCGUUACGGUACUUUUUAUAAUGGUAAAUAAAUAAAAUUUAAUAUUUCAUAAAAUAUUACGAUGAGUAUCGUUAAUGUAAAUAUCCGAUAUAAGAUAUUGCAUAAUGCAAUUUUAUAAUAAAUAAAUUUCUAUAUUAUUUUUAUCGUAUGAAUUAAUUUCAAAGAAUUAUUAAUCCAUUCAAAUUAACACGAUUGUUAAUUAAAAGUAAUUUAUUAAUGGAUCGAAGACUUUUUUUUUUUUUUUUUGAUCUUUUCGUAUUCCUUGAAUUUCAAAAGAAAUUCUGAAAUCGAGAGAAAUUCUCUUGAAAAUGAGAUCAACCUGUACUCUUCUGUUCAGAUUUUCUAUGAAAGAAAGUGCGUUGAGAGUUAGAAACACGUGGUAAUGUUCGUCCCGGAUGUUUUUACGAUGCAUUAGGUACCUCGUACAUACUCCGUUAUACUCUAAGAAAUCUUGCUAAUGAAAUUAGAUCGCAAUUAAAGA
Molecule: long non-coding RNA, 1046 nt
Organism: Vespa mandarinia (Asian giant hornet)
Lineage: Eukaryota; Metazoa; Arthropoda; Insecta; Hymenoptera; Vespidae
Source: RefSeq, a predicted model, not a curated record